GUGCUCCCUUUGGCAGCACAAAUACUAAAAUUGGAAUGAUACAGAGAUUAGCAUGACCCCUGUGCAAGGAUGACAUACAAAUUUGUGAAUCAUUUCAUAUUUUU
This 104-nucleotide small nuclear RNA is filed under the name Carlito syrichta (Philippine tarsier). Lineage: Eukaryota; Metazoa; Chordata; Mammalia; Primates; Tarsiidae. The record is from RNAcentral.